This 468-nucleotide ribosomal RNA is filed under the name uncultured bacterium. RNAcentral's name for it is "partial 16S ribosomal RNA". It matches the Rfam family "Bacterial small subunit ribosomal RNA", at positions 28 to 507 of the family's 1533-position model. The record is from RNAcentral.
GACGAACGCUGGCGGUGUGCUUAACACAUGCAAGUCGAACGGAAAGGCCCUGCUUUUGUGGGGUGCUCGAGUGGCGAACGGGUGAGUAACACGUGAGUAACCUGCCCUUGACUUUGGGAUAACUUCAGGAAACUGGGGCUAAUACCGGAUAGGAGCUCCUGCUGCAUGGUGGGGGUUGGAAAGUUUCGGCGGUAGGGGAUGGGCUCGCGGCUUAUCAGCUUGUUGGUGGGGUAGUGGCUUACCAAGGCUUUGACGGGUAGCCGGCCUGAGAGGGUGACCGGGCACAUUGGGACUGAGAUACGGCCCAGAGUCCUACGGGAGGCAGCAGUGGGGAAUAUUGCACAGUGGGCGGAAGCCUGAUGCAGCAACGCCGCGUGCGGGAUGACGGCCUUCGGGUUGAAAACCGCUUUCGCCUGUGACGAAGCGUGAGUGACGGUAAUGGGUAAAGAAGCACCGGCUAACUACGUG